GGUAACUGCUAAAGCUGCUAUUCUCAUUAAAUUCUUGUUCAGAUUUCACUAUGUCCUUCUCUGGAUGUCCAUUCAGAGCACUGAGUUCUUUGGUCUGAUUAUCUAUUAGAUGAAACAGUUUUUCCUUCCAUCAGCUCUGUGUUUGCUGUUUUUCAUGUCAUUGAUUGCUCGUGUGCUCUGAGAUGGGAAGGACAGGACCUCCUGAUCUGCCUUCUCUGUUCUUCCUGACCUGCUGUGCUUCAAGUUUGUUCUUUCUCUUCUGUUGUUUGUCUUCCUGAGCUGGAAAAAAAAAGCAAGCAGCAGAAAAUGCAAGAGGGGGAAGAUCACUGCUGUUUACAAGAAGAGCUAAAGCCUGUCUAACAUCAGCCACAGAGGGGUUUCCUGUGUAACUGAGCAAGGAGCUGCUGAUAAAACCAGAAUCCACGGAGCAACACUGGAUAUUUAUGGAGAAGGGCUGGCCCUUGGCUCCAUUGUUUGUAGCACAAUGCUUUACAUUCAACAAGGAAGGCACAAACCAGUUACAGUUCAGCUAAUCUUACUGAUCUUGUUUUAAUUAAUCCCUUUCAAUGGGAGUUCAUUUCUAUUGGCACAAUCAGCCUGGCAAAGGCAGAUACUCCUGCAGGAAGAAAUCACCCCAGAAAAAUCACUCUUGAGAUCAAGCCUGGGAGACAUGAGACAAACAAGCAAACCAGAUAUACAGAGAUAACAAAAUAGGAAAUUGAAGAACAGUUUAUGCUGCUGUCUCUCCUAAGUUGACUGAGUUGUUUUGCAUGUGUGACUAAUGUUGCAGAGGCAGCUGGUGCUGCCAACAAGAGCCAGCAUCUCAUCAGGACUGAUGCAGCACCAGCCUGGCUCUGCACAUGCUGGAAAACAGCAGGAGAUGGAGAUGGCUGCUGGGAGCCUCUGAAGUGACCACAGAGGCUGGGUGCUUCCAGCUCUGUUCUUUCCAGUGAGCCUCCUUUGGGCUGUACCUCCUGCCUGGAGCUGCUCCUGGGACUGUGUUCUCUGAUCAACUCCCACUGGGCAGAUAAGGAAUGCAGAAAGCCUCUUACAGAUGAUAUUGGCCACAGAAAUGCUGAAAAGAAGAUCCUAUUUUCUGCUUUCUAGCUUAAGAGAGGAGAAUGAUAUUUUCUUUCCUUGAAACAAGAUUUUUUAUGCUGAAAAAUGAAAGUCUCCUUUGAGUAAAGCAGUCUGCAGAUUCCUGAACAGGUAAAAACCCC
This is a long non-coding RNA of Passer domesticus (house sparrow), 1220 nucleotides long. RefSeq lists it as uncharacterized. The record is from RefSeq and is a predicted model, not a curated record. The transcript has 3 exons. NCBI's taxonomy places the organism in Eukaryota, Metazoa, Chordata, Aves, Passeriformes, Passeridae.